AUGCUUAAAAUAGAUCUUGCUAAAGCUUUUGAUAGGAUAGAAUGGUGUUUAAUCAAGAGAGUCUUGCUACGUAAAGGGUUGCAUGGUCAUUUUGUAGAUUUAGUAUUUGGAUGCAUUUCUUCUGCCACCUUUUCAGUUAACACUAACAGACGGCCAUUUGGUAGCAUUAUGGGAUACUGAGGUAUCUGACAAGGUUGUCCUCCGUCACCAUAUCUUUUUAUUCUCGUUGUCAAUGAGUUGCCACUUUCUAUGCAAGAUGCUUUAAAUGCCAAUCGUUUGAGCAAUAUCUAUCUAGGACCUUGUCCCCCUAUCCAUUCUUUAAUUUUUGUAGAUGAUUUGAUCGUUUGCGGGGCAGACAAUAAUGAUGCUCAUAAUAUUGCUAGAAUUAUUAAUCAAUUUUGUGUUCCCCUGGUCAAACUCCUAAUUGGAACAAAUUUGCUACCUUAUUCAGCAAACAUGUGGAAAAUUCUCUUAAAGACUCUGUUAAGCCAGAUAUGGAUCUUGAUACUACCCAUCUUGGUCAUCCUCUCAUCCUUCGAGGUAGGAAUAAAGUUGCUACCUACAACUUAA
RNAcentral lists this ribosomal RNA (570 nucleotides) under Triticum aestivum (bread wheat). RNAcentral describes it as "partial small subunit ribosomal RNA". The record is from RNAcentral. Lineage: Eukaryota; Viridiplantae; Streptophyta; Magnoliopsida; Poales; Poaceae.